RNAcentral lists this ribosomal RNA (276 nucleotides) under uncultured Sandonidae. RNAcentral's name for it is "partial 18S ribosomal RNA". The stretch from base 30 to 221 matches the Rfam family "Eukaryotic small subunit ribosomal RNA", at positions 781 to 974 of the family's 1831-position model. The record is from RNAcentral. Lineage: Eukaryota; Cercozoa; Glissomonadida; Viridiraptoridae.
AGACAGUUAAAAAGCUCGUAGUUGGACUUCAGGCUUAUGCCAUGAAUACAUUAGCAUGGAAUAAUAAUCUAGGACUUCGGUUCUAUUUUGUUGGUUUCUAUAACUGAAGUAAUGAUUGAUAGGGACAGUUGGGGGUGCUAGUAUUGGCCGGUCAGAGGUGAAAUUCUUGGAUUCGGUCAAGACUAACUUAUGCGAAAGCAUUCACCAAGGAUGUCUUCUUCUGUCUCUUAUACACAUCUCCGAGCCCACGAGACAGAUGAGGAUCUCGUAUGCCGU